UGGGGAAUAUUGGACAAUGGGCGAAAGCCUGAUCCAGCCAUGCCGCGUGUGUGAAGAAGGUCUUCGGAUUGUAAAGCACUUUAAGUUGGGAGGAAGGGCAUUAACCUAAUACGUUAGUGUUUUGACGUUACCGACAGAAUAAGCACCGGCUAACUCUGUGCCAGCAGCCGCGGUAAUACAGAGGGUGCAAGCGUUAAUCGGAAUUACUGGGCGUAAAGCGCGCGUAGGUGGUUUGUUAAGUUGGAUGUGAAAUCCCCGGGCUCAACCUGGGAACUGCAUUCAAAACUGACUGACUAUAGUAUGGUAGAGGGUGGUGGAAUUUCCUGUGUAGCGGUGAAAUGCGUAGAAAUAGGAAGGAACACCAGUGGCGAAGGCGACCACCUGGACUAAUACUGACACUGAGGUGCGAAAGCGUGGGGAGCAAACA
RNAcentral lists this ribosomal RNA (427 nucleotides) under uncultured bacterium. Its description in RNAcentral is "partial 16S ribosomal RNA". It matches the Rfam family "Bacterial small subunit ribosomal RNA", at positions 355 to 774 of the family's 1533-position model. The record is from RNAcentral.